GUGGGGAAUAUUGGGCAAUGGGCGAAAGCCUGACCCAGCGACGCCGUGUGGGUGAUGAAGGCCUUCGGGUUGUAAAGCCCUGUUGGGUGGAAAGAAGGGCUUUUGGACGAAUAAUCCAGAAGUCUUGACGGUACCACCAGAGGAAGCACCGGCUAACUCCGUGCCAGCAGCCGCGGUAAUACGGAGGGUGCAAGCGUUGUUCGGAAUUACUGGGCGUAAAGGGCGCGUAGGUGGUUGUGUAAGUCAGGUGUGAAAUCCCGAGGCUCAACCUCGGAACUGCAUCUGAUACUGCAUGACUCGAGUGCAGCAGAGGGAAACGGAAUUCCUGGUGUAGAGGUGAAAUUCGUAGAUAUCAGGAGGAACACCGGUGGCGAAGGCGGUUUCCUGGGCUGACACUGACACUGAGGCGCGAAAGCGUGGGUAGCAAACAGGAUUAGAAACCCGAGUAGUCC
This 452-nucleotide ribosomal RNA is filed under the name uncultured bacterium. RNAcentral's name for it is "bacterial SSU rRNA". It matches the Rfam family "Bacterial small subunit ribosomal RNA", at positions 354 to 796 of the family's 1533-position model. The record is from RNAcentral.